GAGUAAGGCCCCGUUUGAUAGUUGUUGACUGAGAAAGUGCUGAUUGGGAAAAGUCUGUCUGGGUAAGAAAUCCUAACUGAGUAAGAAAUCCUGUUGUUUGAUUGUACAUCUGACUGAAUGUGCUGAGUGAUGAAAAAUGACCAUUUUACCCUUCUAUUAGAUAUAGUGAUGUAUUAAGUUGCCGAAUAAUUAUAAAAACAUACAUAUUGUCAUACAAAAUGUAAAUUACACACAAAUAAAAAAUGUCAUACAAAAUGUAAAUUAAACAUAAAUCAUUUCAUAUCCAAAUAAAAACAUAAUGAAAUUUAAAACAACAUAAUAAUUUAAUGUAAAGUAGGUGAAAGUAGUCGAUUUGCAAUCUGAUCACGCAAAACACGCAUAUAUUCAACGGCUUUUGAACCCCAUUCUAUGCCUUAUAUGUUUUCUUUAUCAAUUCCCCCACCUUGGACGUCAGGAGUAACCAUAGUGUCCUCCUCAAAAUUUCUAAACAAUUCAUCUUCUAUAUUGUAUUUCCUUAUAAAAUUAUGGACCGCAACACAAGCAAUGACUAUGUCUCUUUGCACUGUAAAAAGGAUAAGGAGCCAUUUGUUUUAAGAUUGGGAAUCUCGCCUUCAAUACACCAUAUGCACGCUCAAUAACAUUUCUANAUAAGGAGCCAUUUGUUUUAAGAUUGGGAAUCUCGCCUUCAAUACACCAUAAGCACGCUCAAUAACAUUUCUAAGUUGUGCAUGAGCAUGAUUGAACCUUUCUUCUCUAGUUAAAGGUCUGCCUCUUCGAAAAUCGGCUAACCAAUACCUAGUAUUGCGGUAUGGAGCCAUAAACCCACGAGUGUUUGUAUAUGCGGCAUCACAAAGGUAAUAUUUAUCUGCAAACGAAUGUGACAUAUUAUAUAAUGAC
This 897-nucleotide long non-coding RNA is filed under the name Lactuca sativa (garden lettuce). Its description in RNAcentral is "long non-coding RNA (LSAT_LNC002727)". Lineage: Eukaryota; Viridiplantae; Streptophyta; Magnoliopsida; Asterales; Asteraceae. The record is from RNAcentral.